CACUUACCUGAUUGGUCCGCUGUUCAAUCUGACUCCUAGCUCCAGUUUGAAAAUGUCAGUGUCUCAGCAGACAGCGUAACAGAAACAGCUGCUGCUACUACGUCUGCAUAUUCCGUUCUAUCGACCAGUAACAAAGUCAGUCCGAGGCCGUUUAAUCCCUCGUGCUUUCAGUAUUUUGCCACUGUUCUGGAUCCCACCGAUCAUUAAGGAAAAGGAGAAAACCAAACAAACAAAGAAACUUCAUUCUGUGCUCCUGCCGUGCUGACGUGUCAUCACAAUUACCCGGAAGCCGGUGACAUCACAGUUAAAGGUCCUCCUGAAACCAACAACAGAAAACCUGUUCCAGCGCCUGCCUCUGAGCAAGAUUAUUUUCUCAUCAGACCUCUCUUGCUGUGGGGCAAUCUAUAUUGGAGCCCUAAUCCGUUGGAUUAUAAUGGACAUUUAUUUUUGGAGAAGAAUUUUGUGAUUAUUUUUUGAUGGCUAUAUAUUUAUUUUUCUUUUUGAAAUACAAGGACUGUUAAGCCUAAUUUUUUGUUGUCUUUUUGUGA
Molecule: long non-coding RNA, 548 nt
Organism: Cyprinodon tularosa
Lineage: Eukaryota; Metazoa; Chordata; Actinopteri; Cyprinodontiformes; Cyprinodontidae
Exons: 3
Source: RefSeq, a predicted model, not a curated record